UACGGAGGAGGCAAGCGUUAUCCGGCAUUCUUGGGCGUAAAGCGUCCGCAGGUGGCAGUUCAAGUCUGCUGUCAAAGACCGGGGCUUAACUUCGGAAAGGCAAUGGAAACUGAACAGCUAGAGUAUGGUAGGGGCAGAGGGAAUUCCUGGUGUAGCGGUGAAAUGCGUAGAGAUCAGGAAGAACAUCGGUGGCGAAGGCGCUCUGCUGGACCAUAACUGACACUCAGGGACGAAAGCUAGGGGAGCGAAUGGG
RNAcentral lists this ribosomal RNA (253 nucleotides) under uncultured bacterium. RNAcentral's name for it is "partial 16S ribosomal RNA". It matches the Rfam family "Bacterial small subunit ribosomal RNA", at positions 524 to 776 of the family's 1533-position model. The record is from RNAcentral.